This 611-nucleotide ribosomal RNA is filed under the name uncultured Cladosporium. Its description in RNAcentral is "LSU rRNA". It matches the Rfam family "Eukaryotic large subunit ribosomal RNA", at positions 1 to 517 of the family's 3401-position model. Lineage: Eukaryota; Fungi; Ascomycota; Dothideomycetes; Cladosporiales; Cladosporiaceae. RNAcentral also lists the same sequence under 1 other name. The record is from RNAcentral.
GGGAAAUUGUUGNCCGGAGGGGCCUGCAACUCUGUCNCCCGGCCGUCCAUGGCCGCGGGAAUUACCGCUGAACUUAAGCAUAUCAAUAAGCGGAGGAAAAGAAACCAACAGGGAUUGCUCUAGUAACGGCGAGUGAAGCAGCAAUAGCUCAAAUUUGAAAUCUGGCGUCUUCGACGUCCGAGUUGUAAUUUGUAGAGGAUGCUUCUGAGUAACCACCGACCUAAGUUCCUUGGAACAGGACGUCAUAGAGGGUGAGAAUCCCGUAUGCGGUCGGAAAGGUGCUCUAUACUUACCUCCUUCAACAAGUCAGAGUGUGUUGUGGGGAUAUGCAGCCUUCUUAAUAUUGGGGGAGGGGUUAAUAUUUUUUCUUUUCUUAAAAAGUCUAAAUAAUAUUUUGGGGCCCAAGAAGNAACCAUAUUACGGCGCCACAAUGUUAAGAUGUGAUNAGAAGAUAUGAAAAAGCACUUGUGGAAAAGAGAGUAAAAAAGCACGUGAAAUGGUGAAAAAGGGAGCGGAUGCGCAAUCCAAGANCUUUUCUGGGGCGGUUGUCACACGCCCCGGGGUACUUUCCUGGCACCCCCGGGGGUUCAUCAUCCUUACUGCCCCCCGUC